This is a non-coding RNA of Rattus norvegicus (Norway rat), 302 nucleotides long. NCBI's taxonomy places the organism in Eukaryota, Metazoa, Chordata, Mammalia, Rodentia, Muridae. The record is from RefSeq and is a predicted model, not a curated record.
AGUUUUUGGCCAGGUCCUAUCGCCUCUUUUAUCAGAAUCUCCUUCGUCCAGUGGAUAUGGAACAAUGUCGAAGAUCUCUUGCUUGCCGGGCAGACAGAAGGAUUCAAAAGUCUUGGGUUGGAGAGAUGGUUCAGAGAUUAAGAGCACCGGCUACUCUUCCAGAGGUCAUGAGUUCAAUUCCCAGCAUCACAACCAUCUGUAAUGGGAUCUGAUGCCCUCUUCUGGUGUGUCUGAAGACAGUGACAGUGGACUUAUAUACAUAAAAUAAACAAACAAACAAACAAAUAAAUAUUUUAAAAGUC